UGGAGGGCAAGUCUGGUGCCAGCAGCCGCGGUAAUUCCAGCUCCAAUAGUGUAUAUUAAAAUUGUUGCAGUUAAAAAGCUCGUAGUUGAAUUUCUGCUGCAUUACAUAUCUCUUGUUUGAGUUUGUUUUUGUGGCUUAUUUCGGUUUGAUUUUUUCUUUCCGGAUGAUUACUUUGAGAAAAUUAGAGUGCUCAAAGCAGGCUUUUGCCUUGAAUAGUUUAGCAUGGAAUAAUAAAGUAGGACUUUGGUUCUAUUUUGUUGGUUUUAGGUACCAAAGUAAUGGUUAAUAGGAACAGUUGGGGGCAUUCGUAUUUAACUGUCAGAGGUGAAAUUCUUAGAUUUGUUAAAGACGAACUACUGCGAAAGCAUUUGCCAAGGAUGUUUUCAUUAAUCAAGAAC
Molecule: ribosomal RNA, 398 nt
Filed under: Theileria orientalis
Lineage: Eukaryota; Apicomplexa; Aconoidasida; Piroplasmida; Theileriidae
Description: SSU rRNA
Rfam family: Eukaryotic small subunit ribosomal RNA
Source: RNAcentral